This 484-nucleotide ribosomal RNA is filed under the name uncultured bacterium. RNAcentral describes it as "partial 16S ribosomal RNA". It matches the Rfam family "Bacterial small subunit ribosomal RNA", at positions 29 to 507 of the family's 1533-position model. The record is from RNAcentral.
AUUGAACGCUGGCGGCAUGCUUUACACAUGCAAGUCGAACGGCAGCGCGGGCUUCGGCCUGGCGGCGAGUGGCGAACGGGUGAGUAAUACAUCGGAACGUGCCCAGUAGUGGGGGAUAGCUCGGCGAAAGCCGGAUUAAUACCGCAUACGACCUGAGGGUGAAAGCGGGGGAUCUUCGGACCUCGCGCUAUUGGAGCGGCCGAUGGCAGAUUAGCUAGUUGGUGGGGUAAAGGCCUACCAAGGCGACGAUCUGUAGCUGGUCUGAGAGGACGACCAGCCACACUGGGACUGAGACACGGCCCAGACUCCUACGGGAGGCAGCAGUGGGGAAUUUUGGACAAUGGGCGAAAGCCUGAUCCAGCAAUGCCGCGUGUGUGAUGAAGGCCUUCGGGUUGUAAAGCACUUUUGGAGGGAACGAAAAGGACUGUGCCAAUACCACGGUUCGAUGACGGUACCCGCAGAAUAAGCACCGGCUAACUACGUG